This 207-nucleotide long non-coding RNA is filed under the name Vigna radiata. RNAcentral describes it as "long non-coding RNA (VRAD_LNC013600)". Lineage: Eukaryota; Viridiplantae; Streptophyta; Magnoliopsida; Fabales; Fabaceae. The record is from RNAcentral.
AUUGUAUUUUGCUUCCGUUUAUCACGCAUUAUUAAUUACUAGGGGAGGCUAGCGAUAGCAAGCCGGUAAUUAGUAAUAGGCUCUUUUCGCCAAGGGAUUGGGUUAAGGGUAGACCAAGAAAGUUUGCAUGACAAUAUGAUAAAUAAGCAAAUUAAAUAAGAAGAGUAGAUAUAUGAGGGUAGAUAAGAUGAAAUUGUAAACCCCAAC